UACGAAGGGGGCUAGCGUUGCUCGGAAUUACUGGGCGUAAAGGGCGCGUAGGCGGGUCGUUUAGUUAGAGGUGAAAGCCCAGGGCUCAACCCUGGAAUUGCCUUUAAUACUGGCGGCCUUGAGUAUGGCAGAGGUGUGUGGAACUCCGAGUGUAGAGGUGAAAUUCGUAGAUAUUCGGAAGAACACCAGUGGCGAAGGCGACACACUGGGCCAUUACUGACGCUGAGGCGCGAAAGCUAGGGGAGCAAACAGG
RNAcentral lists this ribosomal RNA (253 nucleotides) under uncultured bacterium. RNAcentral describes it as "partial 16S ribosomal RNA". It matches the Rfam family "Bacterial small subunit ribosomal RNA", at positions 524 to 776 of the family's 1533-position model. The record is from RNAcentral.